GAAUAUUGGACAAUGGGGGAAACCCUGAUCCAGCAAUCCCGCGUGCGUGAAGAAGGCCUUAGGGUUGUAAAGCGCUUUCACCUGUGAUGAUGAUGACAGUAGCAGGAGAAGAAGCCCCGGCUAACGCCGUGCCAGCAGCCGCGGUAAUACGGAGGGGGCUAGCGUUGUUCGGAAUCACUGGGCGUAAAGGGCGUGUAGGCGGCGGAUUUAGUUAGGCGUGAAAGCCCCGGGCUCAACCUGGGAACUGCGCUUAAUACUGGUCUGCUAGAGUCCGGGAGAGGCGAGUGGAAUAUCCAGUGUAGAGGUGAAAUUCGUAGAUAUUGGAUGGAACACCGAUGGCGAAGGCAGCUCGCUGGACCGGAACUGACGCUGAGGCGCGAAAGCGUGGGGAGCAAACAGG
This 400-nucleotide ribosomal RNA is filed under the name uncultured bacterium. RNAcentral's name for it is "bacterial SSU rRNA". It matches the Rfam family "Bacterial small subunit ribosomal RNA", at positions 359 to 776 of the family's 1533-position model. The record is from RNAcentral.